RNAcentral lists this long non-coding RNA (403 nucleotides) under Olea europaea (common olive). RNAcentral's name for it is "long non-coding RNA (OEUR_LNC009532)". The record is from RNAcentral. Lineage: Eukaryota; Viridiplantae; Streptophyta; Magnoliopsida; Lamiales; Oleaceae.
UUUCUCUCUCUCUCUUUGGAAGGUGAUUUGCAUGACAUGGGAGCUGUUCCUGAGCCUAUAAAUCAGCCAUAAGGAAGAGGAGAAGUUGCUGUCCAUUUCGGCCGAGAUUGGGUUGUGUUUUUCCAUUUUAUAUUCCUUGAUUUUGCCUUGGAAUCUUUUAUUGAUUGAUGUUUAUUGUUUGAUUGAACUCCAAGGAUCCCAACAAACUGGUAUCAGAGCAAGGAGGAGUGAAAUCUGUCCAAAAAUCGAUCGAAACCUCCAAGGAAAUUGCAAUUCCCACUUUUCGCCGAAUUUGGAACUUCAAAUUCCGGCCAAACUACUGACUUUUUGGCGAAACUGACCCUGGACCCAUAACCAACAGACGAAGGCGCUCCUUGUGGUGGGGCGCGUGACCGGAGCGACG